Molecule: ribosomal RNA, 672 nt
Filed under: uncultured bacterium
Lineage: Bacteria
Description: bacterial SSU rRNA
Rfam family: Bacterial small subunit ribosomal RNA
Source: RNAcentral
GAUACCCUGGUAGUCCACGCCGUAAACUAUGGAUACUAGCUGUAGGAGGUAUCGACCCCUUCUGUAGCGAAGCUAACGCGUUAAGUAUCCCGCCUGUGGAGUACGGUCGCAAGACUAAAACAUAAAGGAAUUGACGGGGACCCGCACAAGCGGUGGAUUGUGUUCUUUAAUUCGAUGAUAAACGAAGAACCUUACCAGGGUUUGACAUCCCAAGAAUUUUGCCGAAAGGCGAGAGUGCUUUAUUGAACUUGGUGACAGGUGAUGCAUGGCCGUCGUCAGCUCGUGUCGUGAGAUGUUUGGUUAAGUCCAUCAACGAGCGCAACCCUUGUGAUUAGUUGAAUUUUUCUAAUCAGACUGCCCCGGCAACGGGGAGGAAGGAGGGGAUGAUGUCAGGUCAGUAUUUCCCUUACAUCCUGGGCUAGAAACGCAAUACAAUGGCCAGUACAAUGUGCAGCGAAGCCGCGAGGUGAAGCAAAUCACAUCAAAGCUGGUCCCAGUUCGGAUUAGAGGCUGAAACUCGCCUCUAUGAAGUCGGAAUCGCUAGUAAUCGCAGAUCAGCAAGCUGCGGUGAAUACGUUCCCGGGUCUUGUACACACCGCCCGUCAAACCAUGAAAGUGACCAACACCCGAAGUCCGAUUCGUCGGCCUAAGGUGGGGGGCAUGAUUGGGGUU